GAUGAACGCUGGCGGUGUGCCUAAUACAUGCAAGUCGAGCGAACAGAUAAGGAGCUUGCUCCUUUGACGUUAGCGGCGGACGGGUGAGUAACACGUGGGUAACCUACCUAUAAGACUGGGAUAACUUCGGGAAACCGGAGCUAAUACCGGAUAACAUUUGGAACCGCAUGGUUCUAAAGUGAAAGAUGGUUUUGCUAUCACUUAUAGAUGGACCCGCGCCGUAUUAGCUAGUUGGUAAGGUAACGGCUUACCAAGGCGACGAUACGUAGCCGACCUGAGAGGGUGAUCGGCCACACUGGAACUGAGACACGGUCCAGACUCCUACGGGGGGCAGCAGUAGGGAAUCUUCCGCAAUGGGCGAAAGCCUGACGGAGCAACGCCGCGUGAGGGAUGAAGGGUUUCGGCUCGUAAAACUCUGUUAUUAGGGAAGAACAAAUGUGUAAGUAACUGUGCACGUCUUGACGGUACCUAAUCAGAAAGCCACGGCUAACUACGUG
This 497-nucleotide ribosomal RNA is filed under the name uncultured bacterium. RNAcentral's name for it is "partial 16S ribosomal RNA". It matches the Rfam family "Bacterial small subunit ribosomal RNA", at positions 28 to 507 of the family's 1533-position model. The record is from RNAcentral.